GAUUAUUGGCAGUACAGUCGAUUAGUCUGCUGCACUGCAAAUAGGUAGGACGCACCACCGCACACCUCUUUUAAUCGAAAGAACUUGAUGUAUUUGUGGGUGAACUGCAUAAAAUGGGUAAAGAACAUUGACAAGUGAGUUAGCUACUUCCAAUAGUAAAUUAAUUUAAAUGGAUCAGCAGCUGCAACAACAGCAUGAACAACAGUGUGCAGGUGUAUCAGAAAAUUACAUCUCACCAGCCUGGCUGUGCACUCCACACAUAAAAGUGGAGAGUGACGUAGAUGUUUACCGAUGUCAGACUUCACUUUAUGACUUAAAUAAUAGCCAUCCGACCAACUGUGUUCCACAAAGCAAUUCAACUUAUGUCAAUGGACCUACCAUGAAUUGUUCACCGAAUGAUUGCGGCACUAACAAAAUAUUGUCAGUGGGCCAUGAUAGUUCUACUUACCAUGAACAAAAUAAUUUAUCUACUGCUCAGCAGCCUGCCAUUCAAGGUUUUGGUAACAAUCAAGAAAGUGAAGAGAGGAUGAAAUUGAAGAAUCAAGGCAAUGUUGAAUACCACCGAAAGCAAGCUUUUGAUUUGACUUGCAGAAGUAAAAGCCCAUCAAAAGAAGAAGAAAGCUCUAGCAGUGAUUCUCAGUUAACUGUUGAUGAGACUCUAAAUGUUGAAGGGCAGACUAGAUUUUCAACCAAAACAACAUGUGAAAUCUGUGGCAAAGUUCUAUCUUCACUUUCUUCAUAUUAUGUUCAUAUGAAAGUACAUUCAGGAAACAAACCAUAUGCAUGUACUUAUUGUGAAGCGACUUUUUGUCGCAAACCCUAUUUGGAAGUUCAUAUGAGGACGCACACUGGUGAGCGUCCGUUUGCUUGUGUCACUUGUAAUAAGCGCUUCUCCCAGAAAAGCAGCUUAAAUACUCACAAGCGAGUGCAUACAGGAGAGCGACCCUACUCUUGUGAUAUUUGUCAAAAAACUUUUGCUGUCAAAAGUUAUGUGACUGCUCAUAGGUGGACCCACAUUUCAGAAAAGCCACUGGAUUGUCAACACUGUGAUCUUAAAUUUACAUCAAAGAAUCUGUUUAACCUGCAUAUAAGAACACAUAUCGAUCAAAAUCAUGAAUGUAAUAUUUGUGGAAGAACUUUCAUGAAAGAUUCAUAUUUAAUUCGCCACCAGAACAAAGUUCAUCGGGAACCAAAUUUCCAGACUCACAUCAAUCAAGAUCAUUUGGUGUGUCCACCUGAGACUGACCCAACUUAAGAAACUCUCCAAAACUUUUGCUUUAUCUCUGCUACCUACUAUGUACUCAAACAUAUACCAUUUAACAUGUAUUAGAUAUUGCAGUCAGUGGAUGCCUGCUUUAUAUAUGCUAACCUAGGAUUUAUAGAAGCUACAAACCACCAGAUGUUUGUCUCAUAAGGGAACCAGCAUAGUCUAAAGCAAUUAGCCAAUUUUUAAGAGUCAAAGGGGCUUUAUGCAGAUAAGACAAGUACAAGAUACAGUAUUUGUACAUAGUAUAAGACAAGGUACUCUUGGCACAUUUACCUAAGCCUACAAAAAGAAUCUUGAAUUUUUAAAAACAAAGGAAACACAAGUCAAAUCACAGGGACUACAAUCAGUAUUAAUCAAACAAUACGUAUUCAAGUAAUUACCAGUAGUUUUGUGCUCAUAAUACAUGAACUGAUAAAGUGCCCAUCAUGGCAAUAUUAGUGCCAACAUUCCCCUACUAAAAAAUUUGAAGGGCCACUAUCACACAAUUCAGCUGGGAUUGACACAGACAACAUCGUCAUUUCUAAGUCACAAAAAAAACUGAGUGGGACAAAUGUGAAAAAAAAAAUUAACAUUGAGAAGACAACUAAAAAAAGCAAUCUGAAUUACUUAAAAACUUGGAAAGUGAAUAA
Molecule: unclassified non-coding RNA, 1896 nt
Filed under: Thrips palmi
Lineage: Eukaryota; Metazoa; Arthropoda; Insecta; Thysanoptera; Thripidae
Description: zinc finger protein 765-like, transcript variant X3
Source: RNAcentral